CCUGGCCACCCUGCCAGGGGUCAGUGUCCUCUUCAGUGACAAAAGCCGCCCUAGAUCUGGGCUCCCUGGGGAGGGAGGUGGUUGGGUCUGGCAGUUGGAGCCGCUGUCUCUCCAUGGUGCUGCUGCAGCCCUUCCCCCCGCUGGGCACACAAAUGGGCUUUAUCCAGCAAACAAAACCACCCCCCACCCAGGCCGCACAGGCACGUGGACCCAGGCCUCACCGUGGGAAGGGGGUGGUGACAGGCGCAGAAGAAAGAGAUCUCUCCAAACAAGUUCUCUUCGCCUCACUUCUCUUCCUUAUUUUCCACAAUCCAGAUUUCAGUCCUUGACUUCUUCCCCUCCACCCGCACCCUGAGUCUCCCAACUCCUUCUGGUUACCUCGGUCCUGACUCUGGACUCUUCCUGGGCAGCUCACAUUCUGCAGCGGAUUGGAAGCAGAUCCUCCCAGGGAAAAAGCCAGAUGGAGAAUGAGAACCCAGGGUCCCCCAAGGGGGCUGGAUGAGACCCCCAGGGACUGGACCCCCGAGCCCUCCUUUCCUGCCUCCACCCACUCCAGGGGACACCCUUCUGAACAGUGUCUGUGUGAAUAGCAAAGGAAGGAAGAGCUCACCCCAGCUGGGCUCCUGAGCCAGGGCCAGGGCUCCUGUGAAACCCGCCGCGUGCGCUCCGCUCUGAGCUGGGCCAUCCUGCAUGCUUAAUGGGCUAUUUAAGGAGUUGUUCGCCAGCAACCCAGUCAACCCCCCCUCCCCACGUACACCCGUCCAGAGCCACCUUAAAAGCAGGAGGCAGUUGUGAAGUUGCUGGCCAGCAAGUGGAGUGAAGACUGCAGAAGGAGAUAAAAAAGAAAGAGGGCAGCAAAAGAUUUGUCCUGGACACCCAGAAACUCACGGUCCCCCACUGAAAACCAAAUCCCCUGGAAGCCUGCAGAGACACAAAGACAGCACGAGAAACAGAGAUAAAUACACUCAGCCUCAGGAAACUCCUCUUCUCUCUCUCUCUCUUUCCCUCUCUCUCUCACCUCCCAGCCCUCUCCCUACCCUAGUCCUCUGGUCUCCAAACUCCUAGUACCUUGUGCUCCCUCCGGAAAUACCAUGUUGGUCUUCAUCCUCCUGCUAAAGGUGAUGUGGAUCCUGGCUGCAGAAGACGGUCAACACUGGACAUAUGAGGGUGAGAGCAGAACUCAAGGCCUACCGACACCCCUUCCGCCCCGGGACCUCUUCACCUGGUGGGAAGACUUACGCCAUGUGGGCCCACACGGUCAAGACCAUUGGCCAGCCUCUUACCCUGAAUGUGGAAGCAAUGCCCAGUCCCCCAUCAAUAUCCAGACAGACAGUGUGACUUUUGACCCUGAGUUGCUACCUCUGCAACCCCAUGGAUAUGAACAGCCUGGCACCGAGCCUUUGGACCUGCACAAUAAUGGCCACACAGUGCAACUCUCACUGCCUCCUACCCUACAUCUGGAAGGACUGCCCCGAAAAUAUGUAGCUGCCCAGCUCCACCUGCACUGGGGUCAGAAAGGAUCCCCAGGGGGCUCAGAGCACAAGAUCAACGGCGAAGCUACCGCUGCAGAGCUCCACAUCGUACAUUAUGAUUCUGAGUCCUACGCUAGCUUGAGUGAAGCUGCUCAGCAGCCCCAAGGCCUGGCUGUCUUGGGCAUCCUCGUUGAGGUGGGCGAGACUGAAAACCCAGCUUAUGAACACAUUCUGAGUCACCUGCAUGAAAUUAGGCACAAAGGUGAGCCCUACAAAUCUAUCUUAAGAUCAAGUAACAUUAGACUUCAGGGAAACUUCUCAGAAAAGGCCUCAGAGGCCUGGAAUGAGGCAGAGUUAGGGACCAGGGGGGUUCACUUCUGGGAGCCCUGUCUAGUGAGCUCGGGUGCAGGGAGGGCGAGACGAGUCCUAGUCUGUUCUCACCCAGAUCAGAGGACCUCAGUGCCCCCCUUCAAUGUGAGAGGGCUGCUCCCGCCCCUGCUGGCGCAGUUCUUCCGUUACAAUGGCUCACUCACUACACCGCCCUGCUACCAGAGUGUGCUCUGGACAGUCUUCAAUCGAAGGGCCCAGAUUUCAAUGGGACAGGUGAGUGGUGGAGAGGUGAGACUGCACAGACAUAGCUGUCACCGCAAACUCUCUCCCACUCCCCCAAGCAAGUACCACUUGUCCCUUAACCCCACUCUUUCUCUCCUCAGCUGGAAAAGCUUCAGGAGGCAUUGUUCUCCACCGAAGAGGAGCCGUCUCAGCUCCUGGUACAGAACUACCGAGCCCCCCAGCCUCUCAACCAGCGAAUAGUCUUGGCUUCUUUCAUCCAAGUGGGAUCCUUGUACACCACAGGGGAAAUGCUGAGUCUGGGAGUGGGAAUCUUGGUUGGCUGCCUCUGCCUUCUGCUGGCUGUUUAUUUCAUCGCUAGAAAGAUUCGGAAGAAGAGACUGGGAAACCGGAAAAGUGUGGUGUUCACCUCAGCACGGGCCGCCGAGGCAUAGGCUCCCUCUCGGACACCAGAGAUGCCUUCCCCUCACCUAUCAGGGAGCUUCUCAAGUGGGUGCAGGGACUGGCCCAAAAGCCCUGUAAUGGGCCAGCACUCCUCCUUCCUCCAGACAGCCCCUGCACGGAGGUACGGACAGGCUCUCCGAGGAAGAACAACAGAGCUUCCAGCCUCACAAAACAUGUAGAUAAGGAGAGCCCCAUGCUGACAGUGCAGAGGGCAAACUGUGUUUAGAUGUAGCGGAAGCUGGGCAUGUGGCCCAGGGUCCUCACCCCCUCUUCUUUAUCCCUCUGUCCCUAGAAACAGUGCAGGAUCUCCCCCUAGGAAAAAGGGAUGCUGCUAUCAUGCUGUGGUUUUUUGCUCAAUGUAUUUGGAAUUAAAGUUUCUGACCCCA
Non-coding RNA from Sus scrofa (pig), 2872 nucleotides. Lineage: Eukaryota; Metazoa; Chordata; Mammalia; Artiodactyla; Suidae. The record is from RefSeq and is a predicted model, not a curated record.